Molecule: ribosomal RNA, 1299 nt
Filed under: Triticum aestivum (bread wheat)
Lineage: Eukaryota; Viridiplantae; Streptophyta; Magnoliopsida; Poales; Poaceae
Description: partial small subunit ribosomal RNA
Source: RNAcentral
AUGUCAUAUGGAGGUCGACUAGUUUUGAUUAACUCAGUAUUGACUAGCAUGCCAAUGUUUUUACUUUCGUUCUUCGAAAUUCCGAAAGGGGUCCGAAAGCGACUUGAUUUCUCUAGAUCUCGUUUCUUUUGGCAGUCUGAUGAGGCCAAGAGGAAAUACCGUCUCGCGCGAUGGGAUAUCCUUUGUCGACCUAAAGACCAAGGGGGCCUCGGUAUUGAGAACUUGAAGAUUAAGAAUAAAUGCCUUAUGAGCAAAUGGUUGUACAGGUUAGAGACAGAGCCGGAGGGCAUCUGGUCUCAAAUCCUGCGCAAUAAGUAUUUGCACUCGAAAACGCUAGCCCAGGUUACCAUCAGACCGACUGAUUCACUGUUUUGGAAGGGACUUAUGAGAACGAAGGAUAUGUUCAUUCGUAGGGUCAAAUUCUUGAUUGGCAACGGGAUGUCAACAAGAUUUUGGGAGGAUACGUGGCUAGGAGAGACACCUCUGGCCUUAGAAUAUCCUACCCUUUACAAUAUUGUGCAACGUAAGGAAGAUUACGUAGGUAUCGUCCUUCAAACUAUUCCCUUGAACAUCCAGUUCAGACGUACGUUAGUGGGUGAGAGAUGGACAGCCUGGAUGCACUUGGUUCGGAGAUUGAUUGAAGUUCGACUCUCCGACGUGCCGGACUCCACACAAUGGAAGUUAACUAAAAAUGGGAUAUUUACGGUGAAAUCGUUUUAUACGGAUCUGAUUAAUUCUAGCCCCAUCUCAAGGUCACUUCAUAUAUGGAUGGUUAAGGUUCCUUUGCGGAUUAAAAUUUUCAUGUGGUUUGUCCACAAGCAAGUAAUACUCACAAAGGACAACUUACUUAAGAGACGAUGGGUAGGUAACUCACGGUGUUGUUUUUGUGCUCAAGAUGAGACAAUACAACAUUUAUUUAUCGAAUGCCCACUUGCCAAGUUACUUUGGAGAACGAUUCAUAUAGCUUUUAAUAUCAAUCCCCUAGUAGAUAUUGCGUCUUUGUUUGGGACGUGGUUAGCUGGGGUUGAACAGAUCACGGCAGCUCGUAUUCGGAUUGGAAUAUGUGCGUUAUUAUGGGCUAUAUGGAACUGCAGAAAUGAUAUGAUUUUUACCAGACAACACAACUUAACUUUAUUGCAGGUUAUCUUCAGAGCUACAACUUGGAUCCGUACGUGGUCCUUACUCACUCCUAUGGACUCCAGGGAGCCUUUGGUUACUGGGUGCAACCAAUGGGAGAUGGUGGCUCGGGCUAUAUUCAACCGGUUCGGAUGGCAUUCGCAUAACAGGAUAGGAGUCUAG